Rosa chinensis is the source of this 2605-nucleotide RNA transcript. RefSeq lists it as uncharacterized. The transcript has 7 exons. NCBI's taxonomy places the organism in Eukaryota, Viridiplantae, Streptophyta, Magnoliopsida, Rosales, Rosaceae. The record is from RefSeq and is a predicted model, not a curated record.
CAAAACCUGAAAUAAUUUUUUAGGAUGCUGGUUUCUGAUUUAAUAUCUUAAACUUGCUGCAGAUGUUGGGGAUGUGCGCGCAUCUGGUUAGUGUUGCUGUCAUAAACGGAAGAAAGGAUGGGGACAAUAAACGAUUUUCCUGCUUACGGGAAUUUGUCAGGAUAUUCCACAAAGGGAAAGAAAGCGUGUCCAGUAUGUGGUGUUCAAACAUCCUCUCAAUGGCUGCCAAAUGGAAGAAAGCAUGCAUAUAUGUGCCAUAGGAGAUUUCUUGCACAUGAUCAUCCAUAUCGGCAUAACAAAACUUGGUUUAAUGGAACUGAGGAACAUAGAGUGAGGCCUAGAAAGCUAACUGGUUCAGAGGUAUUUCAGGUGGUGAAGAAUAUUAACAAUAAUUGGGGUAAGGAGGCUAAGUGUUGCACAAGAAAAAAGAAAAAAAAGGUUGGCAGCAGUAACAAUAGAAAAAGGAGAAGAACUGAAGGUAUAAAAAGUUCAGUCAAUCAAAUGGAGGAUGAUUCCUACGACAAUUCAGAUGAUGAUGGUGAUGAUGACAGUGAGGAUCCUUUAAAGCCUUCGAAGAGAUGGAAGAAGAAAUCAAUGUUUUUUGAGUUACCAUAUUGGGAGACUUUGUUAUUGCGACACAAUUUAGAUGUGAUGCACAUUGAAAAAAAUAUAUGUGAGAGCAUCAUUGGCACUUUACUCAACAUGAAGGGAAAGACAAAGGAUAACUUGAAUUGUCGGAAAGAUUUAAAAGUGAUGGGUAUUAAAAAGAAAUUGCACCCAAAAGAAAAUGGUUCCAGCAACUCUAAAAGUGAUGCAGCACCUUACGUGCUUUCAAAGAAGGAGAAGAAGAUAUUUUGUAAAAGGUUAGCCAAGUUAAGAUUGCCAGAUGGGUAUUGUUCCAAUCUUGCAAAUCGUGUCUCUUUACAAGACAACAAGAUCAUGGGUUUGAAGUCACACGAUUGCCACGUUUUGAUACAACAGAUUCUUGCAGUAGCUUUAAAAGGACUUCUGCCUAAAGGACCAAGAAUUGCAAUUUUUCGCUUGUGUUCUUUUUUCCAUCAGUUGUGUCAGAGAGAGAUUGAGAAGAAAACUAUAGGUGUUCUUGAUGAAGAAAUUGCAGAAACUAUGUGUAUGUUUGAAAGGUUUUUUCCUCCCUCUUUCUUUGACAUUAUGGUUCACCUACCGAUUCACCUUGCACAAGAAGCUCUAAUUGGUGGCCCUGUACAUUAUCGUUGGAUGUACCCCUUCGAAAGGUUUAUGAAGGACCUAAAAGGAUAUGUCAAAAAUCGAUCAAACCCUGAAGGAUGCAUUGCAGAAAAGUAUUUGGCUGAAGAGGUGACACGUUUUUGUAGUGGAUACAUUAAAGGAGCAGCUGAAAUAGGUGUUCAAACUAGACGCAAUGAGGAUUUUGAGCAUGAAACAAUACUAGAAGGGCGACCACUUGGUGAGGGGAAGCUAAAAGUGUUCAGUUCUUCCAUGCUAGAGAUUGCUCAUCGAUUUGUGUGGACAAAUAGUUCAGAAGUUGAUCCAUGGAGAGAACUACACAGGGAAGAACUAAAGUGUUUUGAUACACGUCUUAAACAAGAUGAAAACCUUCUUGAACAGAGACAUCUUAGUACUUUUAGUGGAUGGUUAGCUGAUAAAGUUAAAUUUGGUGAUUCUAGAAAUAUGUCAGAAACGGUGAAAUGGAUUGCUUGUCGACCAAAAGCAGAUGUGGUAUCACAUACAGGCUUCAUUAUCAAUGGAAAUCGAUUUCAAACUGAGGACAGUGAGAAGAGCACACAAAAUAGUGGUGUUUUUGUUGAAGCAGACACUGUGUCGAGCAAGUGCAAAGGAUAAUUUACAAAAGAUGGACAGAGUCUCCUACUAUGGUGUUAUAAGAGAUAUAGUUCUUCUAGACUAUCGUCAAUUUCAGGUCCCCUUAUUUGAUUGUUAUUGGGCUAACAUAGGGACCGGUAUCAAAUUGGAAGAUGGUUUUACAUUAGUGAACUUCCACAAGGGGCAGCAUCAGUUUGAUAGAGAUCCAUUUAUUUUUGCUUCCCAAGCGAAACAGGUUUUUUAUUCAAGAGAGAGUGACACAUCGAAUUGGCAUGUUGUACUCAGAGCUCCGCCAAGAGGCUUUUUUGAGAAUGAUAGUGUUGAUGAAAGUGCUUACAUGCCAGUAGAUAUAUCACAGCUAUACCUUGACGUUGAGGAUGAAGAAUGUGAUAGAUAUGAUAAUGAGGAAAUCAAUUCGAGUGACGGUGACUGAAUAACUCAAAUUCCACUGAAGCAUUGAUAUAAUCUAUCAGCACAGCAAUCUAAGGAACAUAUUCUGUUGAUCCUAUAAAGUAUGGAUGGAGGAGAGACUUCAAAACAAGGUGGAAAGAGAGCCAAAAAGCAGGAAAAAGCUGCAAGAGCUGCUGUUGUUGCAGCCAGGGAAGAAAGGAAUGAAUCUUUGAGAAUCUCUAAUGGAAGUUCAAAUUCAACCCCUGCAGAAGAUGAUAUUCCAGAAGUCCAAGCUACAUCAAACCCAGAAAAGAAAAAAAUUCCACCUCGGGGUAAAGCCAAAUUAUUGGAUAUUGGCAAAAAAAAAAAGAAAACGUCCUAUUCUAGUUGAAUUCAA